Molecule: microRNA precursor, 219 nt
Filed under: Medicago truncatula (barrel medic)
Lineage: Eukaryota; Viridiplantae; Streptophyta; Magnoliopsida; Fabales; Fabaceae
Description: MIR2655 microRNA precursor family
Rfam family: MIR2655 microRNA precursor family
Source: Rfam by way of RNAcentral
CCCUUAACUAUUAAAAGCUUCGUUUUGGUCCGUUAACUUACUUUUUGGUUUCGUUUUGGUCCCUUAACUCAUCCUCCGUCAACCACUUUGGUCCUUUAUGUUAGGAUGAAUGUAUUAGAGUUAAGGGACCAAAAUGAAACAAAAAAAUAAGUUAAGGGACCAAAACGAAACUAAAAAAUAAGUUAAGGGAUCAAAACGAAACUUUUAAUAGUUAAGGGA